AUUAGUAUGGCAGAAUAAUAUGCAUAGAAUUUAAAAUUCUAAUAUAAAUUAAAUUUUUAUUAAUAAUAA
This 69-nucleotide transfer RNA is filed under the name Planococcus citri (citrus mealybug). RNAcentral's name for it is "tRNA-Leu". Lineage: Eukaryota; Metazoa; Arthropoda; Insecta; Hemiptera; Pseudococcidae. The record is from RNAcentral.